UACGGGGGGGGCAAGCGUUGUCCGGAAUUAUUGGGCGUAAAGGGCGCGUAGGCGGAAUGGUAAGUCAGAGGUGAAAUUCUCGCGCUUAACGCGGGAACUGCCUUUGAUACUGCUAUCCUUGAGUACGGAAGAGGGAAGCGGAAUUCCCGGUGUAGCGGUGAAAUGCGUAGAUAUCGGGAAGAACACCGGUAGCGUAAGCGGCUUCCUGGUCCGUUACUGACGCUGAGGCGCGAAAGUGUGGGGAGCAAACAGG
RNAcentral lists this ribosomal RNA (253 nucleotides) under uncultured bacterium. RNAcentral describes it as "partial 16S ribosomal RNA". It matches the Rfam family "Bacterial small subunit ribosomal RNA", at positions 524 to 776 of the family's 1533-position model. The record is from RNAcentral.